RNAcentral lists this long non-coding RNA (777 nucleotides) under Chinchilla lanigera (long-tailed chinchilla). RNAcentral's name for it is "lncRNA (ENSCLAG00000027830.1)". Lineage: Eukaryota; Metazoa; Chordata; Mammalia; Rodentia; Chinchillidae. The record is from RNAcentral.
AAUAAAUAGAUGCACUCUAGUAGAUGAAAGUAAUGUACAAAAAAUUAAUAUAUACCUACUUUCUGUUUACAGUAUUCAGUUUUUAACUGUCCUUACAUUUCAAUUUGUCAUAAAACUUGAGGACAAUUUUUACGUAUAUAUUAAAAUAUUCUUGAUGUUAGAACAUUUCUGUGGAAACUGGCUUUAACUUAUAAAUAUCCUUAUUCAUGAACAUCUUUAUUUAUAAUUUAUUGAUUUUUUUAUUGCCUAACCAAUAGUAUUUUGUCAAAAGCAGAAUAUCCACUAAAAAUUACUUAUUUCACCAUAUGACAUGUGUUCAAAGCUAGGGAAAUAUUUAGACUUUUCAACUUCAAAAUAAGCACCAGUACUGACAUCCUAUCCACCCUCUUUUGACACCAUCUGUUUACAUUUUAAGCUCAGUUAUCAGAACUCAGUCUCUGACAUCACUCAGCUGCUGAGAUGAGUAACCAGCAAGUCGUGUACUCAGAACUUAAUCUGGCCAAGGAUCCAAAGAAACAGCAAAGGAAACCUAAGGCUUCCAAAAGAUCCAUUCCAGUAAAUCAGCAGGAAAUAACUUAUGCAGAAUUAAUCCUUCAGAACGCUUCUCAGGAGCAUCGAGGGAAUGACAAGGACCACAACUGCAAAGAUUUCACAUCACCUCCUGAGAAACUUCUUGCUGGAUUCCUGGGAACCACAUGCCUUAUCUUAACAGUCACAGUGAUAGUGACAGCUGUAACUUUCUGUAAGUGUAGUUUGGAAAGAUUGUAUAAGAAUGUU